UACGUAGGGACCAAGCGUUGUCCGGAAUCAUUGGGCGUAAAGCGCGCGUAGGUGGCCAUUUAAGUCCGCUGUGAAAGUCAGAGGCUCAACCUUUGAAAGCCGGUGGAUACUGGAUGGCUAGAGUACGGAAGAGGCGAGUGGAAUUCCUGGUGUAGCGGUGGAAUGCGCAGAUAUCAGGAGGAACACCGGUGGCGAAGGCGGGUCUCUGGGCCGAUACUGACGCUGAGGAGCGAAAGCGUGGGGAGCGAACAGG
Molecule: ribosomal RNA, 253 nt
Filed under: uncultured bacterium
Lineage: Bacteria
Description: partial 16S ribosomal RNA
Rfam family: Bacterial small subunit ribosomal RNA
Source: RNAcentral